RNAcentral lists this long non-coding RNA (450 nucleotides) under Ananas comosus (pineapple). Its description in RNAcentral is "long non-coding RNA (ACOM_LNC010316)". The record is from RNAcentral. Lineage: Eukaryota; Viridiplantae; Streptophyta; Magnoliopsida; Poales; Bromeliaceae.
AUCUAAACUUUUAAUUCAUUUAAUUUGAAUCAUGUAAUGACUCUUAAACUUCCAAGUUUAUACGCAUUGUUUAAUUUUACAAACCUAGUUAGCAUAUAUAUUUUAUAUCAGUUAUCCAACUAUAAUUCUUUUUAACAUAAAUAAUGAGCUUAAAAUUUGUAGGUAAAAGAACCGCCAAAUAGCUUAUAUCAAAUAAAUUAAAAGAUUAGAUAAUAAAAUCAAAUAUUUAAAAAAUUAGAUGAUUGAAUCAAAACAACCCAUAAUUCAGGAAAAUUUUCCUAUUUACAUAUACAUCUAUUCCUUAUCAUUAUUCCUCAUAAUUUUGUCACAUGACGUCAUUUCUUUUUUUGUAUUUUUCUCAUAAUUUUGAACACGGUUGUUGAGUGUAUAUGCUCAUUAUUCCUCGUAAUCUUACCACGUGGCGUCAUUUCCUUUUUUUGAUUUUUCCCA